UGGGGAAUCUUGCGCAAUGGGCGAAAGCCUGACGCAGCCAUGCCGCGUGAAUGAUGAAGGUCUUAGGAUUGUAAAAUUCUUUCACCGGGGACGAUAAUGACGGUACCCGGAGAAGAAGCCCCGGCUAACUUCGUGCCAGCAGCCGCGGUAAUACGAAGGGGGCUAGCGUUGCUCGGAAUUACUGGGCGUAAAGGGAGCGUAGGCGGACAUUUAAGUCAGGGGUGAAAUCCCGGGGCUCAACCUCGGAAUUGCCUUUGAUACUGGGUGUCUUGAGUGUGAGAGAGGUAUGUGGAACUCCGAGUGUAGAGGUGAAAUUCGUAGAUAUUCGGAAGAACACCAGUGGCGAAGGCGACAUACUGGCUCAUUACUGACGCUGAGGCUCGAAAGCGUGGGGAGCAAACAGG
This 404-nucleotide ribosomal RNA is filed under the name Variovorax paradoxus. Its description in RNAcentral is "partial 16S ribosomal RNA". It matches the Rfam family "Bacterial small subunit ribosomal RNA", at positions 355 to 776 of the family's 1533-position model. Lineage: Bacteria; Pseudomonadati; Pseudomonadota; Betaproteobacteria; Burkholderiales; Comamonadaceae. RNAcentral also lists the same sequence under 3 other names. The record is from RNAcentral.